This 63-nucleotide transfer RNA is filed under the name Bradyrhizobium sp. RNAcentral's name for it is "tRNA-Glu(ctc)". It matches the Rfam family "tRNA", at positions 9 to 71 of the family's 71-position model. From Rfam's summary of the family: Transfer RNA (tRNA) molecules are approximately 80 nucleotides in length. Their secondary structure includes four short double-helical elements and three loops (D, anti-codon, and T loops). Lineage: Bacteria; Pseudomonadati; Pseudomonadota; Alphaproteobacteria; Hyphomicrobiales; Nitrobacteraceae. The record is from RNAcentral. RNAcentral also lists the same sequence under 1 other name.
GGAUAAAAAAAUCCCAGCCCUCUCAAGGCUGAAACAGGGGUUCGAUUCCCCUAGGGAGCGCCA